GGAUAAGUACUCAAGUUGGCCGAAGAGGCGCCCCUGCUAAGGGUGUAGGUCGGACUUAAACCGGCGCGGAGGUUCAAAUCCUCUCUUCUCCGCCA
Molecule: transfer RNA, 95 nt
Filed under: Clostridia bacterium
Lineage: Bacteria; Bacillati; Bacillota; Clostridia
Description: tRNA-Ser
Rfam family: tRNA
About the family: Transfer RNA (tRNA) molecules are approximately 80 nucleotides in length. Their secondary structure includes four short double-helical elements and three loops (D, anti-codon, and T loops). Further hydrogen bonds mediate the characteristic L-shaped molecular structure. tRNAs have two regions of fundamental functional importance: the anti-codon, which is responsible for specific mRNA codon recognition, and the 3' end, to which the tRNAs corresponding amino acid is attached (by aminoacyl-tRNA synthetases). tRNAs cope with the degeneracy of the genetic code in two manners: having more than one tRNA (with a specific anti-codon) for a particular amino acid; and 'wobble' base-pairing, i.e. permitting non-standard base-pairing at the 3rd anti-codon position.
Source: RNAcentral